RNAcentral lists this long non-coding RNA (1682 nucleotides) under Medicago truncatula (barrel medic). RNAcentral's name for it is "lncRNA gene46336". Lineage: Eukaryota; Viridiplantae; Streptophyta; Magnoliopsida; Fabales; Fabaceae. The record is from RNAcentral.
AUAAGAGAGCAUAAGAUUAGAUGACUAUCAAUACCAAUGUGCCAAAAUACUCUUAACAAAGUAUUACUAAAGUAGUCAACACAAAAAUCUCCAGGAUUCAAACACAGUAAUCCAUUAGACAACAAUUCUAAAGAACGAUUUUGUGCCAUGUUCAUCCCAUAAACAACAAAAGCAAAAAUAAUUUGACAUUGCAAAAACAAUCACUCGUCUUCUUGACUGCGCAACCUAGCGAGCUUGUUGGUGACAACAACAUCCAAUUGAGCUGCACGUUCAACGAUAUCCUUUCGUUUCCUGGUUGAAACAUUGUGUGCGAUCUCAGCACAGUAUGUCCUGAAGUUAUUUCAUGUAAAUAAACAAAGUCAGAAAUGUGGCUACUAAGGGUCAAUGAGAAAUUAAGAAUCAAAAUGCAAAUCUAAAACCAGUUACCUGUUGUGCAUCAUCAAAAGUUCCAAAUCCUGGACAUUGUGCACAACAAACUUCUUGAAUCCAUUUGGCAGAUGGUGGCGGGUCUUCUUGUCUGACCCAUAUCCAAUGUUUGGCAUCAAAGUAACUCCCUUAAACUUUCUCCUAACACGAGAAUCAAUACCCUUUGGCCUACGCCAGCUUUGCUGCAUAUCAUAACAGUAACGAUGUUAAAAUAUUAUAAACCUAUGGAUACAAUUUGCAAAACAUAUACAAACUGUGCAUUCAGAAGAGCAAAUAGAAUGAGAGUAAAAAUAAUAGGUAACAGGUAGCAAUAGGAACAUCAGAGAAGAGGUUUUUGUAUUACAAAAUGCAAUAGGAAAAAUGGUGCAAGGAUAAAACAGGGAAAUGACACAAUAAAUUUAAGAGCUUAGCUUGAAAUCUGAUAUUAAAUUGUUAUGAAAAAUAAGCUAUGUGAGUAUGAGAGCCUGUUUGGUUCAACAGAAGAGGGGAGGAAUUUUAAAACCAAUUUACCUUAUUAUCCUUACAACAUUGUCUUUAUUAUAUAACACAAUAAAGUAUGCACCAAAACGAAAUUAACGAAUCAAAAUAGUGGAAAAAAUUUGAACUGAUGUGAAACUAAACAAUAAGCAACAAAACAAUGUGAAGAAACUUGAGAGGUUUAGGUGAAUGUUCUCACCAUUAAAAUGCAUUGGACCCGACUAAUUACUUUUAUAAGUUGUAGAACCCAAUGCAUUUUAAUGGUGAUUAUUCACAUAACCCUUGUUUCAGAAUUAGAAUUAUCUCAUAUCUCAGCAUCGAUCCACUCCCCUCCCAAAAAAAAAAAAACUGACAAAAUUUUUGACUAUAUUCUCCACUCCCUUCCAAUUCUAAAAAAUUUGAACUAAAUGAACAUAUGUAAAAUAAGCCAUCCCCUCCAAAAACAGCAAUCAAACAAAACCUAAGAAAUGAAAAGCAUUUCUACAAACCCUGAAAGACAUAUAUUAUAACAUUCAAUCUAGUUAUAGUGUAUUUAGGAAUCUAUAUGAGAAACCACAAAACAUACAAGAAAUCACAUGCAUACCAUUGAGGUCUCUUUAACAACUUUCAAACACACAAUAAAUCACUGGAUAAAACAUAGUUUGCAUUGCAAAUAUAAAAUUGAAAGAAACACAUACCUUGACACAUAUUUUCCUGUCACUUUGAGGCCUGAUGAACCUCUUCACACGCUUCUUGAUAAUCUUCUUAGUUAGCAGAGGAACGGCCAUCUUACCUUACCU